CCUGGCGGCAUUAGCGCGGUGGUCCCACCUGACCCCAUGCCGAACUCAGAAGUGAAACGCCGUAGCGCCGAUGGUAGUGUGGGGUCUCCCCAUGCGAGAGUAGGGAACUGCCAGGC
This 116-nucleotide ribosomal RNA is filed under the name Escherichia coli. RNAcentral also lists the same sequence under 205 other names. The record is from RNAcentral. Lineage: Bacteria; Pseudomonadati; Pseudomonadota; Gammaproteobacteria; Enterobacterales; Enterobacteriaceae.